This 433-nucleotide ribosomal RNA is filed under the name uncultured bacterium. RNAcentral describes it as "partial 16S ribosomal RNA". It matches the Rfam family "Bacterial small subunit ribosomal RNA", at positions 29 to 507 of the family's 1533-position model. The record is from RNAcentral.
AACGAACGCUGGCGGCAUGCCUAACACAUGCAAGUCGAACGAGACCUUCGGGUCUAGUGGCGCACGGGUUCGUAACGCGUGGGAACCUGCCCUUAGGUUCGGAAUAACUCCCCGAAAGGGGUGCUAAUACCGGAUAAUGUCUUCGGACCAAGGAUUUAUCGCCUUUGGAUGGGCCCGCGUUGGAUUAGCUAGUUGGUAGGGUAAAAGCCUACCAAGGCGACGAUCCAUAGCUGGUCUGAGAGGAUGAUCAGCCACACUGGGACUGAGACACGGCCCAGACUCCUACGGGAGGCAGCAGUGGGGAAUAUUGGACAAUGGGCGAAAGCCUGAUCCAGCAAUGCCGCGUGAGUGAUGAAGGCCUUAGGGUUGUAAAGCUCUUUUAACCGGGAUGAUAAUGACAGUACCGGGAGAAUAAGCUCCGGCUAACUCCGUG